Protopterus annectens (West African lungfish) is the source of this 557-nucleotide non-coding RNA. The record is from the annotation of a RefSeq genome assembly. NCBI's taxonomy places the organism in Eukaryota, Metazoa, Chordata, Ceratodontiformes, Protopteridae.
UCCUGGCAGCUUACAGCAAUUUUACAAUGUUUUAUGUUUCAGUCCUCACUGUAACAGUAACCUGCUGGCUAUGUUGCAGGGCACAGGCAAGUCUGGUUCAGCCUCCUUCACUGUCUGUGUCUCAGGGGCAGAAUGUGGAAAUCCCCUGCACAGGACUCAGUGGUUACACUCUGUCCUGGUACCAGCAGAAACCAGGGAAUUCUCCUCGGCUUCUUACUUAUGGCACUAGCACAGAGACAGGAAUUCCAAGUAGAUUUUCUGCUUCAGUAGAUAACUCUGCGAAAAUUUCCAAAUUAAUAAUCACAGGAGUCAAUGCUGAGGACGAUGCUGAUUACUACUGCAGUAACUGGGAUAGUAGUGCUAGCACACGCACAGUGAUACAGUUACAUGAAGACGUUAGACAGAAACCUUUUACUUCACUGAGGCUGUACAGCAGUAAUUCAUGCAGAGUAAUAUUAUUUAAGCACCCUGGUUUCCAGGUAGAGGAUGGUGGCAUGCAGCAUCAGCCUGCUUACACUGCAGAGGAGACUGCAGCUAUCAUUGGUGCAGUAGUAUAG